This 253-nucleotide ribosomal RNA is filed under the name uncultured bacterium. Its description in RNAcentral is "partial 16S ribosomal RNA". It matches the Rfam family "Bacterial small subunit ribosomal RNA", at positions 524 to 776 of the family's 1533-position model. The record is from RNAcentral.
UACGUAGGGGGCUAGCGUUGUCCGGAUUUAUUGGGUUUAAAGGGUGCGUAGGCGGUCUAUUAAGUCAGUGGUGAAAUACUCCAGCUUAACUGGAGGGGUGCCAUUGAUACUGAUGGACUUGAGUGAAGUCGAGGUAGGCGGAAUUGACGGUGUAGCGGUGAAAUGCUUAGAUAUCGUCAAGAACACCAAUAGUGAAGACAGCUUACUAGGCUUAUACUGACGCUGAGGCACGAAAGUGUGGGGAUCAAACAGG